RNAcentral lists this unclassified non-coding RNA (289 nucleotides) under Hevea brasiliensis (rubber tree). Lineage: Eukaryota; Viridiplantae; Streptophyta; Magnoliopsida; Malpighiales; Euphorbiaceae. The record is from RNAcentral.
UCAAAUGGGAGCUUAGCUCCCUCAAACCAAGCCAUAUACCCAGUCCAUUCAAUAUCACAUGCAUCAUAAGAAGUUUACAAAUUUUCAAAAUAAAAGAGACAUAAUCUUUUACAGCUCAAAUUAAAUUAAAUAACCCCUACACAUGCGAAGUUUUAAAACUUCCCUUAAUUACAUAAAUUAUACAAAAUGAACAUAAGUGGACCUCUGUGGAAAGGAAUAGGUCAUUUACAAUAAGGCUCUCCUGUAUACUGGAAAAAUAGUGAAUAGGAGUGAGCGUUCAACUCAGAGA